This 429-nucleotide ribosomal RNA is filed under the name uncultured bacterium. Its description in RNAcentral is "bacterial SSU rRNA". It matches the Rfam family "Bacterial small subunit ribosomal RNA", at positions 29 to 506 of the family's 1533-position model. The record is from RNAcentral.
ACGAACGCUGGCGGCAUGCCUAACACAUGCAAGUCGAACGCCCCGCAAGGGGAGUGGCGCACGGGUGAGUAACGCGUGGGGAUCUGCCCAUCGGUGGGGAAUAACCUCGGGAAACUGAGGCUAAUACCGCAUACGCCCUUAGGGGGAAAGAUUUAUCGCUCCAAGACGGGCCCGCGCCCGAUUAGGUAGUUGGUGAGGUAACGGCCCACCAAGCCUACGAUCGGUAGCUGGUCUGAGAGGAUGAUCAGCCACACUGGGACUGAGACACGGCCCAGACGCCUACGGGAGGCAGCAGUGGGGAAUAUUGGACAAUGGGCGCAAGCCUGAUCCAGCCAUGCCGCGUGAGUGAAGAAGGCCUUCGGGUUGUAAAGCUCUUUCAGCGGGGACGAUGAUGACGGUACCCGCAGAAGAAGCCCCGGCUAACUUCGU